RNAcentral lists this ribosomal RNA (459 nucleotides) under uncultured bacterium. RNAcentral describes it as "partial 16S ribosomal RNA". It matches the Rfam family "Bacterial small subunit ribosomal RNA", at positions 338 to 795 of the family's 1533-position model. The record is from RNAcentral.
CCUACGGGUGGCAGCAGUGAGGAAUAUUGGUCAAUGGGCGGGAGCCUGAACCAGCCAAGUCGCGUGAGGGACGACGGUCCUAUGGAUUGUAAACCUCUUUUGUCGGGGAACAAAGGCGCCCACGGGUGGGCGUAUGAGUGUACCGGAAGAAAAAGCAUCGGCUAACUCCGUGCCAGCAGCCGCGGUAAUACGGAGGAUGCGAGCGUUAUCCGGAUUUAUUGGGUUUAAAGGGUGCGUAGGCGGACAGUCAAGUCAGCGGUAAAAAUGCGGUGCUAAACGCGGUACAGCCGUGGAAACUGGCGGGCUUGAGUGCGCGAAAAGCAUGCGGAAUGCGUGGUGUAGCGGUGAAAUGCGUAGAUAUCACGAAGAACCCCGAUUGCGAAGGCAGCAUGCGGCAGCGGAACUGACGCUGAGGCACGAAAGCGCGGGUAUCGAACAGGAUUAGAUACCCGAGUAGUC